Molecule: non-coding RNA, 29 nt
Filed under: Mus musculus (house mouse)
Lineage: Eukaryota; Metazoa; Chordata; Mammalia; Rodentia; Muridae
Source: RNAcentral
UCCAAAGGGCAUACGUAUAUAGACCUUGG